Molecule: unclassified non-coding RNA, 345 nt
Filed under: Zea mays
Lineage: Eukaryota; Viridiplantae; Streptophyta; Magnoliopsida; Poales; Poaceae
Description: misc RNA Zm00001eb405890
Source: RNAcentral
GAUGAUGACUGUUGUGAAAUAUGUAACCAAGACAGUGAAACUCCUUCGCACAUCAUCUUCCACUGCCCGUUUGCACGCCAAUUUUGGAGCUCCAUCGGAUUCUCUGUCGCUGAUGAUCUGGGCACCCAGGACCUGCCAAACAUCAGUCGCCCUGAUCGCCUUCCGGGUGCAGAAUUCAACUCCUUUGUCCUCCUCUGCUGCUGGCAAUUGUGGAAACGCAGAAAUGGUGUCGUCUUCCGUCAGGAUCAUGCCACUCUUGCGGCCACUUUGCAUUCAUGCGCUUCUGAAGCAAAAGCUUGGGCGUACAGGCACAACAGGAAAGAGGCACAAGUAUUAGGUGCUUGG